CCUACGGGAGGCAGCAGUGGGGAAUUUUGGACAAUGGGGGCAACCCUGAUCCAGCAAUGCCGCGUGAGUGAAGAAGGCCUUCGGGUUGUAAAGCUCUUUUGUCAGGGAAGAAACGGCAGUUUCUAAUACAAGCUGCUAAUGACGGUACCUGAAGAAUAAGCACCGGCUAACUACGUGCCAGCAGCCGCGGUAAUACGUAGGGUGCAAGCGUUAAUCGGAAUUACUGGGCGUAAAGCGUGCGCAGGCGGUUAUAUAAGUCAGAUGUGAAAUCCCCGGGCUCAACCUGGGAACUGCAUUUGAGACUGUAUGGCUAGAGUGUGUCAGAGGGGGGUAGAAUUCCACGUGUAGCAGUGAAAUGCGUAGAUAUGUGGAGGAAUACCGAUGGCGAAGGCAGCCCCCUGGGAUAACACUGACGCUCAUGCACGAAAGCGUGGGGAGCAAACAGGAUUAGAUACCCUGGUAGUCCACGCCCUAAACGAUGUCUACUAGUUGUCGGGUCUUAAUUGACUUGGUAACGCAGCUAACGCGUGAAGUAGACCGCCUGGGGGUAAGGUACGGUCGUUCGAGAGUUAAACGUUAAAGUUAGUUAGUUGACGGCGUUGAGACGUUGCCGACGGACGACGACGAGGGAGGAGG
This 636-nucleotide ribosomal RNA is filed under the name uncultured bacterium. Its description in RNAcentral is "partial 16S ribosomal RNA". The stretch from base 1 to 542 matches the Rfam family "Bacterial small subunit ribosomal RNA", at positions 338 to 873 of the family's 1533-position model. The record is from RNAcentral.